Molecule: non-coding RNA, 7216 nt
Organism: Cinara cedri
Lineage: Eukaryota; Metazoa; Arthropoda; Insecta; Hemiptera; Aphididae
Source: the annotation of a GenBank genome assembly
GGCAACAUUGUAUACAAAAUUGGGAACUACUGGACAUUCUUAUCAAUAUUAAAUAUCGCCAGCCGGCAGCGGAACAUAUUUAUUAUGUGUACGUCCAUCGUAUGUUAAAAUGAAAUGUUUUUCCCUUCGAUGGUAGGGGUAAUGUCAAACGCGACUACUCAUGUUUAACGACCGAGUCAGCGAUCCAGUAUAAUAUUAAUUAUUAAUUAUUCUCCGUUUUAAUGAUUGUGCCCAAUAAGCUAUCAAUCUGGUUGAUUUAAAUUUUUUGACAUUUUAUAUUUUUAAAUAGCAAUCGUUUUGAGAAAGAACUGUUUUGUUGAUCGGUUACCGUGCACCCUAUUGUUUUUCAUCUUUUUGGUUUUUAUAGUACUAUUUCAGUCGUGAAUCGUGAGUCGCCGUCCAUCCGUUAUUAACUGUUCUGUAAUCAGCUGAAAAAUGGCCCAAAAUUUCCAAAGCAAUCCAUUGGUCAGUGUUGAAUCGGUAAAUAUUAUCCUAAAUAUUAUUAGGUACUUUCGUAAUAAUAAUAUUGACAAAUACUCGGUGACCAGCCGAGUAAUAAUAAAAGAGGCUAAAUCCGUUUGACGUACACAGUUUUUACAAUAAUUUUUCAAGUCAUACUAAAACCAUUAUUGGUGUGUUUUCAGCCACAUUCGUUGUAUUAAAUAUUAAUGUCUUAUUUUGUAAAAAAAAAAUAUACUGUACCUACUUCUAUUUGUUAUGAGUCUCAGUAUGAUAGAAAUUGCUAAUAUUUAGAUAUCCAUAUUAAUUUUUGUUAAAAUUUUUUGUUCAUUUUUUCUGAAAAGAAAUCAGAUUGGGCGGUAGCGGUAUUACAUAGAGAUUAUUUUUUUGAUUUUUCUUGGGAUUUUCUGGAUAAAUAAGAAAAAACAUAGGAAAAAUUGAAUGAAAUAUUUUUAAAAAAAAAUACAUAAUGCAUAUGAAAUUAUUUUAUUAUAAUAUGAUAUAAAUAUUAUUGACAAAGCAACAAUAUUAACCGAACUCCGCUCAGAAUCAUUUUUUGUUAGCAAUGAUUAAUUGUUACAUGCAGAUAUACCCUCUACAACUUCCCAAUUUCUCGCCUACACCAGUGGCCGACCCAUAUGCAAAGUAUAUUUGUCUAGUAUAUUUAUUUAUAUUUCGAUUGUAAUAACAUUAUGUGAUAAAAGUUCUUCAUACUUAUGAAUGAUGUUUUACACACAAUUAUUUAUCUUGCUUUCAUUUAUUGUGUUUUCAAUUGAAGAUAUGAUUAUAUAGAACAGGUUUAAUAGAUUGAUUUAGUGAAUUUUUGAUAUCCAGGUCUAUUGAAAAUAUUUUACGAGCAGUAUUCGGUUUACUGUGCAACUCGAGAUGUCACAGUAGUCAAACUUGCAUAAAUAAAUAUUUUUGUAAUUUAAAUAUACCUAAUAUAUGAUAACAGUUUAAAAUUUGUAUUUAUAUAUAACUAAUAUUAUAGUAGGUACCUAUAAAUUUUUGUAUAAAUAUGUAAUAAUAAAAUUAAUUUGUAUAACAAAAAUAUAAAAUUUAAAUCUUUACCUAUAUCGAUAUAUUAUAAUAAUUUAAACAUUUAAACAUAAUUGAUAAUAAAAAACAUAUUUAAUUUUGGACAUUUACUGAUAGAAAUCCUCGGUUUCACUGGUAUUCAAAAUUUUAAUGUGACAUAUUACAUAUUUUAAAUUUCACUGAAAUGAAAGAAAAAAAUGUAGUUAUUUGCUCUGAACUCUUAGAAUUUAAAAAAUUCUUAAGUAUCUAUUAGUGUUUAAUAUUUUUCUGUUUAUAACAGUUAAUAAUUAGUUUCUUAUAUAACUAUAAUUUUACCAGACAAUUAGUUUAGUUAUCCAGAUGUAAAAAUAAAAACAACAAAAUUCUAACAUUUUCCAUCCCUGAAAUUGUAUUAGUUAUUAUAUUUCUGAUAUAAAUUGUUGACAUUUUAUAUUAAUUUAUUAUAUCCAUUUUCUAUGUUUAAAUAUUGGAAUUAUUAAUUAUUAUUUUUGUUUUAGCAAAAGCAGCUUACAAUAGAGCAGUAUACAUUAGUAGACAAAAUACUUACGCUGGACAAAUUUAACUAAAUUAACCACAAUAUACACCCUACCAAGUAAUUAAAUUUAUUAGUAUAUAUCAUAACAUGAGUUCAUUAGGUUUUAUUACAAAUAAUUAGUAUUUACAAUUUACAUUAAGAGGUACUUAGCAAUUCUUAUUAUGUAAAAUAAUGUUUAUUUUUGUUAAUCUGUAUGGAUAUCAUAAGUAUUGGAUUAGAAAUUUGAAUAUUUUACUUAUUUUGUGUGUGAAGUCUAUUUUCACUAUAUUUAUUUUAUUUUAUUAACACCAAAUAGCAUUAUAUAAAGAAUAAGUGAAAAUACAUAAAUUAUGGUGAAAUGAUAACAAUACAAAUUUAUUUUUGACAGAAUUAAAACUAAGAUCAUUACAUGCAAAAAGUGAAUAAAACAGUAUAUUAACAAACAAUAUAAAAGCAAAUAUAUACAAAAUAAACUAGGUGGCUUUAUUGGUACGGCGAAGUAUGCGGUGUAAAGGAUGGUUGUGAUUGUAGGAGGUGGAGUAGGUAGGGAUAUUAAAGGGUGUAUGAUAUUUUGAGGGGUAAGUAGGAACAAGGAAAUUAACAGAGGAAAGGUGGUCUGGGGCAUCUAUUUUUAACGGGCCUAAUGUAACGAUGUUGUCUUAGAAAAAAAACUUGAUAAAAAUAAAUAAACUCCAACUUGAGUGUUAUAAAUAAAUAAUAUUUCCAUAUAAAAUAUUACAAUAAACUGUGUUCAAUUAAUUCAAACAACACAAAUACACAAGUUUAAUAAAUAAAUUCACAAAAAUAAUACAAGUCCAAAUAACAAUAAAUAGAGUAAUGCGAAAUUGGUCACAUUUGAUUGUGGUAGACUCGUCUGAUUUGACAAUGUUAUAUAUUCUAAUGCUUAUUUAUAGUGGCUGCUAUCUAUAUUUUAUUGCUGGCACCGGCUAAUACCAAAAAUUAUAUUAUAUUAUGUUACAACCCAGGCCCACUCAUUUUAUUUUUAUAUGUAUUUUUUUUUUAUUAAAUUUAGAAUAUGGCUGGUGUAGGUUCGUGUGCCGAAACUAUAUUUGGGUGCUGUGUAUUUUUACAUGCCUACUGGUAGGUAUUCGGUUCCAUAUGUGGUGAUUAGCACCAUAUACAGCCUGCCUCUUGCUGGGGGCACGUGUGGGCACAUAACAUAUUGAAUCAUCAAGUAGACUUUGAAUAAAACAAAAAUCAGUAUCAAUUUGUUGAAAAGAAAGCGUGGAGAUCUUUAGUUUUAAAAGUAUAGUAGUAGUUAUGUUGUGGAUGCACAAUUUUAAGUAGGGAAUAGAUAUAUGAAAGAAACCUAUUCUGGACUGUCUCUAGUCUUAACUGGUCUUUCACUAAAUGAGAGUGUCAAACUAUUAUACAGUACUCUAAAAUUGGGUGUACAAGGAAUAGGUUAAGUGUACAAAGACAGUGGACAGAGCUAAAUAUUUUAGUGUUACGUUUUAAGAAACCCAGGACUUUCAGUGCUUUGCAGACAGUAACAUUAAUGUGGUGGUUUUUUAAAUUUAAAUUCCUCAGGUAUUAUAUGUAAGUUCCUACAUAUUUCAAUAAUAAUUAAAUUAUUUGUAUAAUUUGUAAUAAAGUUUGAGAUGAACAAUCACGCAAUAUUUCAUAGUUUACUUAAAAGGAUGCAUAUUAAACAUUAAAUAAAAAUAAUACUAUUCUUAAAAAAUAUUGAGAAUUAACAAAUACCUACCUACCUUCAAAAAAAUAAAACCUUACUAGAUACCUAUCUAUGACAAAAUAAUUUUAUUUUUAGAUUUAUUUAAGAUAAAAAUAACCAAAAAACAAUUAAGUACAUUACCUAUACUGUAUAGGUAGCCAGGUAGGUAACCUUUACAUGACAGCACAAAACAAUUUUUUGACAUGGUUUAAUACAAAAAAAAAACUUGCAACAUGUAUUCAUGUAAUUAUAUGGUAUAACAUUUAUUAAUUAUUAAUAAAAUAAUGAACAUAUAAUACAAAAACCGUAAAAUGUCCUAUAGCACUUGUAUAAAAUGAGCAUGACUAAUGUUUGUAGCACACUGUUGGAAGUUACAAAUUUGGGACAUUUUUUAUCUGUCCAGCUGUAAUCGGUGUUCUUACUCUAAUGUUCUUGUCUAUGAGAUAUAUCUGGUUGUUAUCUCGUGAUGCUGAACCACACAAUGUCUGUCUUAGAAAUAUGUUGGUAGUCGAGAUAAGAGGAAAGUACCCUAGUUUAAAUUUAAUAUGAACUUUGUGAAGGUAAAUAAUAUCUAAUGUUUUGUAAAUGUAAAAUGUACAUUUUUUAGGGAUAGAUAUGCACUUUAUGCAAAAAGUUUGUUGUAUUAAAUACUUCACACAACUGUACUGAUGAUACAAAAUUAUAAACUAGUAUUAGUACUAGUAAGUUGUACUAUUGAUUUUAAAGUUAAUACCUACUAGUAGAACAUAAUUGGUUAUUUUUUAACAGAUAUAUUUAUAUUCUAGAAUAAUUUUUUAAUCAAAUAUAUUCUGGGACUAUUAACUAAUUUAAUACAUUGGUAUUAUGUAUUUUGAUAUAUAUUAUAUGUUUAAUAUCUAAGUACUUUAAUUUAAUGUGUGUUGAUUAAAUUAAUAAAGAAACUAAUUUGUCUAAACAUUUUAUUUUUUUAGAUCUCCAAACGUCUUGCAUCCUAUAAGUAAUCAUAUUAAACAAGGCAAAAUUAUUAUAAAUAUGGCUAAAGGUACGAUUACCUAGGCGUGACUGGUCACUGAGACCAGUCUCCAGUGGCUUAAAGAAAACCAUACACAAUUCAGUUAUUAUUUGCUCGCUCCAUCAUUGUAGAUAUUCAAUAAUUGUGCAUGUUACAAUAUAGUAUAUGUGUCAUAUAUAUAUAUAUAUGUCAUAUUAUUAGUACAUAUUAUGCAGUUGCAGUACUUGGAAACCUAACUAGGUGCUAUUGAUUUAUAUGUUUGAUAGGGUAAGUUAAUUAAAUUUUCUAUUAUAGUUAAUUAGUUAAAUUAAAAUACUAAAAAAAAAAAAAUGCUAUGAGAAAGUUAUACAUGUUUUAAAAGGGCGUAAUAUUUAUGAAUUAAAAAUAAUUUUGUAAAUCUUUCCGUUUUUCUUCUUUUUUGCUAAAAGAAUUAUUUAAAAUUUUAGAAUGCUGAUUGUCAAUAUUUUUCGGCGAGAAUUACAUUUAUUACUUACAAGCAUAAUAAAAAAUGAUGAUCGUGCUAACUUUCUUUUCUCAUAUAUAAAAUCAAAGUUAUUUACAGAUGCUCCUGAAAAGUCGCGGUGUCGUCAAAAAGUCAUUAAGAAAAAUUUUCUUCUGUUAAGGGGAUCGGUGGCGGACAGUUAUUUUAGCCAAAACAUCCAAUUUUUAUUCCAUCAUACUGAUCGAUAUAGUAAUGCGAUAACAUUUUUGAAAACUAAUCUGAAUUCGUUAUAAUGUCUACUUGAGAUCGGUCAGUUCACAUUUUAAGAUUUCUGAUUUAUAUUCCAAAUAAUCAACGUUUGAAAAUGCCGAAAUUUCAAAAUAUUUAAACUAAAUUUUUAGGUGUUAGGGGGGUGAAAUUGGGGAAAAUAGACCGAUCUCUAGUAGACUUUAUAACGAAUUCAGAUUAGUUUUCAAAAAUGUUAUCGCAUUAUUGGAUCGAUCGGUACGAUGGACCAAAAAUACAUAGUUUUAGUAAAAAAAACACGUUCUGGAUCGUUCAUGCGCGCGACAGUGCGGCAGUGACUUGUACGCGUUACCGCGUGCGGAAGAGUUCCUCCGCCACUACCUAUAUCGCAUGCCACGGUCUGCGAUAGAUAGAUUAUAAAUCGUAAUUAUACUAUUAUAGGUAUUACUACGGUACAAUUAUUAAAUGUAUAAUAACAUAUUUAAUAUCUUGCGUAUAUUGAUAAUUUGGUAUGAAUGAAAUAUAAUAUAAUAAUAUAAUAUGAAAAUAUGAAAUAUUGUUCAUUUGAGCUUCGUCUCACGUCAUCACUACACUUGGACUUGGUAAAAUAGUGUAAAAUAGUAGGAUUUUUACGCACUUUUUAGUCACUUAGAUUUUGUUUUUAUAAAACGUGAUUAGUUUUAUUUAUAAUAAUUUGGUAAAAUGGGAAAUAAAAAACAAAAACUAUCCAAAGUGAAAAAAAAUAGAGGAAAUGUUUCAUCACUUUUAAAUUGGCAAACUCAUCGCAUACAAAAAACAGUAAGUGAUGUACAGCGGUAACAUCGUAUAAUUGUGGACCAAAAUAUAUAAGUAAUUUACAUAAACAAAUUACGAAUACUAGCCCUGGAUUAUUUACAAAACAAUAUAUAAAAAGAGUAGAAAGAUCAAAAUUAAAAUUAAAAUGUAGACGUUUACAUUUCGAAAGGUAUUAUAUAAUAAUUUAAAUUUGAUUAUAUUAAACAGAUGAGGAGGGCUAAAUCUAUAAAUAACUAGUUCUUAUAUAGCUUAUAUAUAGGUACUCUUAGAUUUGUAAAUUGUUAUAUUAUUAUUAUAUACCUAAUAAUAUAAUAUAAUAGUAUUUUUUUUUUAAUUUUUAUUUAAUUAUGCAGUGAAUAAUAUCGUGUUCUCAUUUUUUAAAAAAUAAUUCUAACCAUUUUAUUGCUUAAAAACAAGUAAUAAUACAUUAUAUUAUAUUCAACUGAUAUUUUUUUAAUUAUAAAUUAUAAGAACUUUUCCAAAGCGAACAAAAAUUAUUGACGGACCAGAUGAGAAAUAUGGAGCUGUAAAUGAAUUAGAGUGUACAAUAACUGAUAUGCCACAUGAUAAAUAUUUAAAAAAGGAAAAAAUAUUUUUAAAUAAUUUAAAGUUAACUAUAAAAGAAAUAGAAUAAGUGGAAAGAAGAACUGUAGGACAGCACAAUAAUAAUGAAAAUAUAGGAAAUCACGUCUCACAGCUUUAAAUUUUGGCAAAUUGUGUAAACUUAAGAGCCAGCACUUCUCGAGCAAACACCGUCAAAAAUAUACAUUUUUUAUUUCAAAUCAACAUAAUCUAAUAUUUUAUAUUUUUUUAUAGGUUUUGUAGUUGAUAAAAUAUUAAGAGACGAAGAAUUUUGGAAAAAUAAUAUUGAACCACAAUGCACAAAAUUUUAUAUGGAAUCUUUAGUCCCAGGAAUUAUGGACUCGAGAUUUGAUCGAGGAUUACCUAUAAGAUCUGGUUUACCGGAACCAUAAUAUUUGUAUAUUUGUAUAAUAUUUGUAUUUAUUUUUUUAAUAUACUCUCUAAAUUAAUACA